UUUGGAGUUUUUUUUUUCCAAAAUAGGCCUGAUUAUGACGAUUACAACUCAACUUCAACUUUUUGAAUCGUUAUACCUAAGAAACGGUGGGUCUUAGGAAAAAAAGUGUCAUGACACUUUUUAUAUAUAAUUCUGGUCUACAAUUCUUGCAUUGAAAAUUUUUUUUUGCUGUUUUGCUGAAAAUCGUGAAAAACCAGUUUUUGUGACCUUCGACCCCCCCUAUAUUUUUUUCCAGACCUCGGAUGGAUGAGGACUUUUUAAAUUUAAUUUAUGAUGGUGUUUCCAACAAUCCUACCAAUUUUCAGCUUGCUGGGAAUUAAUGUAACCUCGGAUGUCUAAAUUGACCGGACUAUAAUAUCGCAGAAGCACGUUAAGCAAUUCAUACCUUUUUUUGAAAUAAAAAAGUGAGGAAGCUUUCUUUUGGCGUCGAUCCUUCAAUAUACCGAACAACUAUUGUUAGCUGAUCGAUAUGCGAUUCGUCGGGAGUAGAGUCCACUGAAACCGAAUAGUAUUUAGAUUUUUUUAUUCUGGACACUAUUUCAGAAAGCACUUUGUCACCCAUAGAGCUGAUAAGUUCUUCGCAAAUCGUGGAGGAAAGGUAGCUGACAUGACCACUUCCUUUGUUUGCAUGCUCUUUCAAAAUUCCAAGAAAAUUCCAUUUCUCGGUGAACCAAUGAUGAUUGUCGCCUCGAAAGGCUAACCCACGUUCAGCAAUGAAUUUGAUAGUACAAUAGACAAUAAUUCUAAGGAUGUUUUGCCAAUACUGGAUUUGUUCUGCCUCUUGUAUCCUCAGCUCUUGAUCGAUCCGUCCUGUGAUUGUUCCUCUUUGGACUAAAUUCAUUACUGAUUCCAAAUAGGUCUUUGAAAUCUAAUGUUCGUGUAGACGAUCAGAAUGUUUCCAGUCACUGAAGCCUUCUCCACUGAGUUUGGUGUUUUGAUUGGACAUUAACUUACACGCGUAACAGUAUAAUUUACCCAUAGUUGGAGAAAAGCAAAGCCAGAAUCUAUUUACGGUCUCUUGAUUUUUAUUGUUACGUGUAAACAGUUGAAACUAUCUCGUGACUGAUCUUGUAGAGCUGAAUUCUGCAGAGAUACUGCAGAGAGUUUUGUAGAACCAAUAAUCGAUCAUCUCAUUUGUGAUCCUCUCAGGCCAAAGACCAAUAUCAUUUUUGAGACCAAAAAGUUCUUCUUUCUCUCGUGUAUUGGCGUCUGAUGAAACUUCUGGAUGAUCUUGGGUAUUAUCCAAAUCAUCUUCAUCUACGGUGGAUUCACCUAGUGUUUUGUUGAGAUUUUGAAGGAGCUCUUCUUUAUUUGAUGAAGUAAAAUGACUGGUCAAUGAUGGGUGUAAAAUUUUUUUUUACAAAAAACAAAAACCAUUUUUAUAGUCUAAGCUAAUUUUUAAUAUCAUAACAACUAACAUAAGUUGCAGCGUUCUUAUUUUAUAAGCGUUUGAAGAAAGCCAUAUUCAUUUUUUUUAUGAUUUUUAGACCAAAGUUGGAAAUUUUUUUGUUUAUUUAUUUUUUAUGAUUAUUUCGGUUUGUAAUGUUAUUUCAUGUUUUUUGGUACCUUUCUCUGAAAAGUACCUCACGUAGAUCUUGAAAUAUAAACAUUUUAAUGCAAACAUGUCAAAUAAUUUUUCAUUUAUUUUUUCUGAGGGAGCAUUUUAAAUCUCAUUAUCUUCGAUUUUUUCACUCAAUAUUUUUGGAAAAUUUUAAUGGAAACUAUAAAACUGCACAAAAUAAACAUUUCUGUAUAAAUUAUUUUCCACAUUUGACAAGCAGAACGAAGUUUAAAAUGACCCUGCAAACCAAACCUCAGUAGUUUAGGGGAAAUUACAACCACCAACAAAGUCUUUACUUUGUAGAUGUAUGCGUUUCCUUAUUUACCAAAACCUCUCCCCUCAAAAUAUUGUAGUUUUGUUUCUCCUGAAAAAAAUAAACUCUUUGGUAAAUGGGAGGAAAAGAGUGCGAUGUAUGCAAUGCUCAAGGUUUUCUCUCUUUUGUAAUGGCGACUCGACAUUUUCCUGCAUUUCUAGUGAAACCUUGAUAGCCACAGCAACAUUAGCUAAGCAAAAAAAAUCAUUUCUGUGCUCCAAAAUAAAACAAUUUAAUUUGAAGAAAUAAAUAUCGUCUUAAUCAGUGUUAUUUGUGAAAAUUAUUUUCAAUACACAAUGUAUAGUAGCACAUAAAUUCUUCGGCAUGCCACAAAAAUUCCACCACCAUUUCUUUCCAUCAUCAAAAUGCACAACCUCAGCCUUGUGCAUUUAGAAAAAUUAAAAUUAAAAAAAAAUUAUACAAAAACCACAACCCAUGGAUUUGGAAAAUAUAGGCAUGCUUAUUUUAAAAUUAAUAAAUUAGGUAUAUAAUUGUUGAUUUUUCUGUCUUCUAGUGGAGAUCAAUUCCAGACAUCAAUGACUGAGUUUACAGUUCGAAAUUUUCCUCCACUCCAUCCAGAACGAGUGAAACGAAUCUUAUGUUUAGUAGAGACUACAAUACCUGAGUGUGAUCCUCAUUUCACAGACUUGUAGUGUCUGCACCCUCCGACCACUUGUUGAUGUGUUCGCUCUAAUCCUAGACAAAAUCAACAUUCAACAAUUCUAUGUCCUUGCUCGCCACACUAUUGGAUGCAGUCCGUUCGAGUGGCAAUCAAGAUGUGCAAGUUCGUAUUACAAAUACAUUGCGAGGAAAGCAUUUUGUUCCCCUCAACAGUUGUGUGCAUGAAGCGAUUUAAGAUUUAAGAGAAAUUCAACGCCAACAUUCUUCAUAGAAGUCUGAAGUAAAGUGUCACACAAGACGUUCAUGUUUUGAUAUACAAUUCGACUGAAUAAAUCUAAAUCUCUAACCAAAAUUUUAACUUCAGAGUUUAUUUGUAAUUUCAUUUGUAGUUUCAAAAGGUUUAGAUUUACUAGGAACAAACAACUUCUCUUACGUACAAAUUUCACCACUUAAUUACGUACUUCUAGAUUCAAGGAGCCAUAUGGAGUUUCAGUGGUUUUUCUGUAGCUAAAAAAGUACUGGAAAAUGUACAUCAGAAGCACUUCCAGAUGUGCUUCGCUGAUGUAGUUUUGAAGUACAUUUGUCUGUACUUUUAAUGGAGGGGAAAUUCAUUUCAUCUUGCAUGCAAGAAAGAGAUAGAUGCUUCCCGUAUUCUUAUAUACAGAAAGUACAUAUUGACGACUGGACCAUGUACCCUGGCGGAAAGAAGCUGAAACUACUUAUACACAUCAAGCAUCAGAAAUUGUGGAAAUAAGUAUGGAAAUUGAUUAGUGCUAUAAUGAAAUUAUUUAUAAAAAGUAAAAACAACAGUUUAAAUAAAAGUAAAAACUUGUUUUUAUAAAAAGAAAAGGUCAAACUAUAGAUUUAAAGCAAAACUAUUAUUAAAAUCGAAGCUCUUGUUGCAACUAGUGUAGUUUAAGUGUGAUCUGGUAGUUUUCCUUGCAUUUUGUUCUUUAAAUUUGUCAUAUGAACGAAAAGUUCUUAGGUGGUCAAUAUUAUAAAGUUAAUGGCACUUCAAUUUAAUCUUGUUUGUUAUAUUUCAGACAAGGGUGAGUGCUUAUCACCGACACUGUGAUUUCAGUGCAACUCAUAUAGAAAGCUUGAAAUUUAUAUGUUUCAUCUCCCAAAAAUAUGUUCGAUGAUAUAUUUAAAAAAUGGUUUCUUUUUUUCAAAGAAUCAUCCAAAAUUCAUGGUUGCACCAAAACACGAUGAAAUAACAUAACAACUUUUGCAUAGAAUUGCAUCCCUCGCAAGAAGAUUUUUGAUGUGUAUAUGUAGUUGCUUAUUUUUCCCACCAGUGUCGCAUUUUGACUUUUCUAGUUGUCAAUUUCGCCGGUUUUUUCUGUAGUUCUACGUUUGCUGGGGACAUUCAUGAUCAAUUCGAACCAAUUCCAACUCGAUCCACGUAAACUUACAAAAGAAGAUUUAAAACGAACCUUUCAGGCACAGUACACAUAAUAACCCAGCAAACGCAGAACUACAGAAAAAACCGGUGAAAUAUGUACGUAAAAGAAGUACUUCUUUUCCACUGAAAAAAGAUAGGAGCUCGGGAAAAAACUCAGUUAUAUACUUUCUGUAUAUAAGAAUACGUGAAGCAGCUAUCUCUUUCUUGCAUGCAAGAUGAAAUAAAAUUUCCCCUCCAUUAAUAGUACAGACAAAUGUACUUCAAAAGUGCAUCAGCGAAGCACUUCUGGAAGUGGUUCUGAUGUACAUUUUCCAUUACUUUUUUACCUACAGAAAAAGCACUGAAACUUGUACUUUUAAAGUACUUAUUUGGAGCACUUUCAUGGGUUUAUAUCCGUACUGCUAAAAUCCAUAUUUUAAUUUCAUCUGAAAAUAAAAAAAUCUUCAAAACAAACAAACAAUUCUUUUAAACAACUAUUAUUUAAUAUUUUAUUGGAAAAACACAAAAUUCUUUUUUUUAAACAA
This is a long non-coding RNA of Episyrphus balteatus (marmalade hoverfly), 4424 nucleotides long. RefSeq lists it as uncharacterized. The record is from RefSeq and is a predicted model, not a curated record. The transcript is spliced from 3 exons. NCBI's taxonomy places the organism in Eukaryota, Metazoa, Arthropoda, Insecta, Diptera, Syrphidae.